UUCACUUAGCCGCCGGGUUAAGUGUUGAUGUGUCAUAAGUCCAUGUCGUUAGGCCUUAGAAGAUAUGGAUUUAUGGCACUUUUUUUG
Molecule: non-coding RNA, 87 nt
Filed under: unclassified sequences
Source: RNAcentral